CUCUUGUGAAUACAGUGGACCAUUUGGGUUCCGUGACAUAUAAGGUUAAUGAUCUCUUGGAUGAGAAGGUUGAUGAAGUUUCUGGAACAGAGUUCCGUGUGUCUUGCAUUGAACAGAGACUACGGACAUGCCGAGAAUAUAUUGAUCAUGAGGGCCUCACCCAACAAUCACUGAUGAUAAAUACUCCGAAGUACCAUAAGCGAUACAUCUUGCCUGUUGGUGAGACCAUGCAUGGAGCCCUCCGCACAAAAUCAAAAUACCUGGGUUGCAGUCUAGAUGAUGAAGAUGAUUGGAAUCAAUUCCGGGAUGCUGUUCGAGCUACGAUCACAGAAACCCCAACAUCUUCAGUCAGAAAAGGGCGUUCCCCUUCACCUUCUCCACGACACCCGCAGCGAUCUGCAACCUUUUCCUUUACAUCCACUAUGCC
This 427-nucleotide unclassified non-coding RNA is filed under the name Hevea brasiliensis (rubber tree). The record is from RNAcentral. Lineage: Eukaryota; Viridiplantae; Streptophyta; Magnoliopsida; Malpighiales; Euphorbiaceae.